Molecule: unclassified non-coding RNA, 243 nt
Filed under: Hevea brasiliensis (rubber tree)
Lineage: Eukaryota; Viridiplantae; Streptophyta; Magnoliopsida; Malpighiales; Euphorbiaceae
Source: RNAcentral
UUUAGUGAAAGACGUGCUGCUACGGUGAGUUAUUUUUAUGGCUCAACUUUCAUUUAAAAGUUUAAUUACUUUUCAUAUAAUUACUAGUUUAAUACAAGUACAUGUUCCUUCUUUUCAUUUCAAUUGCUUUGAAUAUUUCAAAGUCAUCUUUGAUGCUAGUGUGUCUUAUUUGCCAUGACUCUUCAGUUUCUGCUUAAAACUAGUGUGUCUUAUUUGCCAUGACUCUUCAGUUUCUGCUUAAAA